Molecule: long non-coding RNA, 861 nt
Organism: Photinus pyralis (common eastern firefly)
Lineage: Eukaryota; Metazoa; Arthropoda; Insecta; Coleoptera; Lampyridae
Exons: 4
Source: RefSeq, a predicted model, not a curated record
UCCAAUUGUUAUUAUUAAACUAAAUAUUCAUUUGUAAGUGUUUAACAAAUCUUAUUAAUAGUGAUGGUAAUUAACUACCAGAAAAACAAUAUCUUAAUAUUUAACUUUGUUCGAUAUCAUUAAGCUUUGUGAUGACACGGCGCUAACUUAUCUCACUUCGCUUGGGAGCGCAUAUAAUUGUAUAACAGUUGGACUGUCGACUGUGCUGUUCUGUGUGCCGUCUUUUUGUUAUAGUUCGUGCACCUUCAAUUCAAAAUUCCUAUACGGUGUUGUUGUGUGUGUAAUUGCUGUGUUACUAACACCUACGAGUAUUAAAACCACUGAAAACCGUGUAAUGGUAGUGUGAAGCACCUAAUUAUAACAAUGGCAGAUAGAGAUACAGAAAUGGACCUGGAUGAAACAUUACAAAUCAUCGGUAUUGGAGAAUUUACAGCCCUCUUUCAAGCCAAUUAAAGAAUGAAGAAUUCGACAUCCUUGGCAAUAAAAUAGUGGAACUUUUUCCAUGUGAAACGAAGGAAGCCUACUACCUUCCACCAAUAAGAAAGAGGGAUUCACGGGACAAAAAACCGGGAGUUGCACGAGGAAAACUGGUGGAUAAGUUUCGAAAUAGGCUAACUUUCCUUCGAGAAGCAGGAAUAUUACCAUCAAGAGGUGGCAUUACAGACAAAGAAAAUCAAGCCCCUACAGACGUAGAUUCAGAUGAUUUGGUUAAGAACAGUCUGCUUUGGUUAGAACAUAAUCGGGAACCAUUAGAGCAAGUGUACAAACACUGGGAUGCCACAUUCAAUUAUCGGCGACAACAAACUCUAAAAGAAGAAAGAGAAGGGAAAGAAUAUUUUACUCUAUAUCCUGUCUAAAAGU